ACAGUGCCUGGGAUUCUGAACAAUUAUUAUUUGCUACUGGUACAUUGCAUAGAGUCUUACAUACAAAUCAGUACUGAUCACCGAGUAUUCAUCAUUCAUUGUAAUACGAAAUACCUUUAGUAGUGAUUUGUAAUUCUGUAGCAUCGUUGCUCAUUUAUGAGAGUGUUUCAGAGCUGGAUAUGCAUUGGGGAGCAGCCUCCGUAUAUUUGCAAAUAGAGCUGUUUAGAACUUACGCUAAAAUAUGAGAAAGUCAAACACCCGGUGCAAGAAAAGCAAUAAAAUUCAUGGAUUAAAUCUUAAAGUGUACUUGUCUAAUACUAUUCACUAGGUGGAAUUUUAAUGACGCACUUUCUUAAGCAGAAGGUUGUAAGAAAAAACAGUUUUGCUACUCUAUACAAGACGCAAAGUGAAUGCAGCCGUUAACCACGCAUUCAAGAAUAAUAGAGAUUGAUGAAGGAUGAGACGAAGUAAUA
Molecule: long non-coding RNA, 473 nt
Organism: Ceratosolen solmsi marchali
Lineage: Eukaryota; Metazoa; Arthropoda; Insecta; Hymenoptera; Agaonidae
Exons: 4
Source: RefSeq, a predicted model, not a curated record